UACGAAGGGGGCUAGCGUUGCUCGGAAUGACUGGGCGUAAAGGGCGCGUAGGCGGAUGGCACAGUCAGAUGUGAAAUUCCCCGGGCUUAACCGUGGGGGCUGCAUUUGAUACGUGUGAUCUAGAGUGAGGAAGAGGGUCGUGGAAUUCCCAGUGUAGAGGUGAAAUUCGUAGAUAUUGGGAAGAACACCGGUGGCGAAGGCGGCGACCUGGUCCUUGACUGACGCUGAGGCGCGAAAGCGUGGGGAGCAAACAGG
This 255-nucleotide ribosomal RNA is filed under the name uncultured bacterium. Its description in RNAcentral is "partial 16S ribosomal RNA". It matches the Rfam family "Bacterial small subunit ribosomal RNA", at positions 524 to 776 of the family's 1533-position model. The record is from RNAcentral.